GACGAACGCUGGCGGCGUGCUUAACACAUGCAAGUCGAACGGAAAGGCCCUGCUUUUGUGGGGUGCUCGAGUGGCGAACGUGUGAGUAACACGUGAGUAACCUGCCCUUGACUUUGGGAUAACUUCAGGAAACUGGGGCUAAUACCGGAUAGGAGCUCCUGCUGCAUGGUGGGGGUUGGAAAGUUUCGGCGGUUGGGGAUGGACUCGCGGUUUAUCAGCUUGUUGGUGGGGUAGUGGCUUACCAAGGCUUUGACGGGUAGCCGGCCUGAGAGGGUGACCGGACACAUUGGGACUGAGAUACGGCACAGACUCCUACGGGAGGCAGCAGUGGGGAAUAUUGCACAAUGGGCGGAAGCAUGAUGCAGCAACGCCGCGUGCGGGAUGACGGCCAUCGGGUUGUAAGCCGAUUUGGCCUGUGAGGAAGAGUGAGUGGGGGUAAUGGGUAAAGAAGAAAAGGCUAACUACGUG
This 468-nucleotide ribosomal RNA is filed under the name uncultured bacterium. RNAcentral describes it as "partial 16S ribosomal RNA". It matches the Rfam family "Bacterial small subunit ribosomal RNA", at positions 28 to 507 of the family's 1533-position model. The record is from RNAcentral.